UUAAGGAUUUAUCCGCCUCAUAAGCGCAAAUCCCCCAGGAUUCAGUAGGCUCUUCUUGGAUUGAAACCAAGGAUUCAGAACUAUCAAGAAGAAAUUCUUUCAGGAGGAUGUAACCCAGAAUUAUAUGUCAGACUCAUGAAAAUCUAUUCAUGUAUAAUUUGAAGCAUAAAAUGUAAAGGAGGGAUUUUUGUUUAGCCUGUGCAUAAGUAUUUAUACCAAAAGAAAAAAGGUGUUCCUCCUCUUGAUAUUGAUAGCACGUACAAGGAACAU
RNAcentral lists this long non-coding RNA (270 nucleotides) under Medicago truncatula (barrel medic). RNAcentral's name for it is "long non-coding RNA (MTRU_LNC001817)". Lineage: Eukaryota; Viridiplantae; Streptophyta; Magnoliopsida; Fabales; Fabaceae. The record is from RNAcentral.